AUUAUUUCGGACCAUUGGGGCCUCGUAUUGAGAAAAUGAGCUUCAAAUGGAAAAGUUUAGACUUAAGUUGUUAAACAUGGUCUAAGGCGCAUUUGUUGAUAUUUUUGAAGGGGAUGAGAACCCCCCAUCAGUCUUAUUUUCCCUUCUUUUCUAGCCACCACCAACAACCAUUGCUACCAUUUUUCUCUCCUUCAUUUCCUCACUCAUUUCUCCAUUUUCUCUCCAAAUUUCCACACCUCACCUUAAGACUUUGUUAAAAUCGUCAUGGAAACAACCUCCUAAGCCCAAUUCCUCCCUCAAUUUCUUCAAAUUUCAAUUUAGGAUUCCAUAGGUUUUGGUGUGAGAAAAUGAAGCUAGAGAGAGGAAGCUUCACCAAGGGUUUCCAAGCUUGAUUGACGAUGAAUUAGAGCUUAUGAAGGCUCGGAUAAAUGUUGUAGAGCUUCCAUUAAGGAGAGAGUGCGUUAAAGGAACAUUCUAUCGUCUUCUCCAUCACCAUACAUGCAUGAGAACGAAAGAAAAUAGCUUUGAGUAUCUUCCAUUGUCGUCCUUCAAUUAAGAGAAUAAACCAAAGACGACGUUGGACGUCAAAAGUGAAAGGAAAGGAAAAUGUGAGUGUUGAAUAGAUAUUGUGGUUUGUGCUUCUAAAAUUCAUUUUCAAUAAUCCAUUUGUAGAUCAACUAGUUGUUAUAGACGAACAUGAAAUAAAUGUCGAGGUAACCAGAUCCUUCCCCAAAAACUAUGAGAUGAUUUAUUGAUACUGUGAUUGCCCAAUCAAUUUAUGAAUAGUUGAAUUA
Gossypium raimondii (Peruvian cotton) is the source of this 794-nucleotide long non-coding RNA. RefSeq lists it as uncharacterized. Lineage: Eukaryota; Viridiplantae; Streptophyta; Magnoliopsida; Malvales; Malvaceae. The record is from RefSeq and is a predicted model, not a curated record. The transcript is spliced from 3 exons.